GGAAUUUUGGACAAUGGGCGCAAGCCUGAUCCAGCCAUGCCGCGUGUGUGAAGAAGGCCUUCGGGUUGUAAAGCACUUUCGGACGGAACGAAAUCGCGCGGGUGAAGAAUCCGCGUGGAUGACGGUACCGUAAGAAUAAGCACCGGCUAACUUCGUGCCAGCAGCCGCGGUAAUACGAAGGGUGCAAGCGUUACUCGGAAGUACUGGGCGUAAAGCGUGCGUAGGUGGUUUGUUAAGUCUGAUGUGAAAGCCCUGGGCUCAACCUGGGAAUUGCAUUGGAUACUGGCAGUCUAGAGUGCGGUAGAGGGUAGCGGAAUUCCCGGUGUAGCAGUGAAAUGCGUAGAUAUCGGGAGGAACAUCCGUGGCGAAGGCGGCUACCUGGACCAGCACUGACACUGAGGCACGAAAGCGUGGGGAGCAAAC
Molecule: ribosomal RNA, 423 nt
Filed under: uncultured bacterium
Lineage: Bacteria
Description: bacterial SSU rRNA
Rfam family: Bacterial small subunit ribosomal RNA
Source: RNAcentral